Molecule: ribosomal RNA, 451 nt
Filed under: uncultured Thiocapsa sp.
Lineage: Bacteria; Pseudomonadati; Pseudomonadota; Gammaproteobacteria; Chromatiales; Chromatiaceae
Description: partial 16S ribosomal RNA
Source: RNAcentral
CCANNUNAAGUGCCUUCCGAAGUUUCCGUGCAANNUCCUUUGAGUUUCCGUGCAAUUCCUUUGAGUUUCCGUCAAUUCCUUUGAGUUUCCGUCAAUUCCUUUGAGUUUCCGUCAAUUCCGUUGAGUUNCCGUCAAUUCCUUUGAGUNUCCGUCAACCUCCUNUGANNUUCCGACAACANGGGGCGAGCNUUCGNCAAUGGUGUUGCGCCAGAUCNNGNACGCAUUUGANCGCUACACCNGGAAUUCCACCCCCCUCUCUCANACUCGAGCGACGCAGUCUCAAAUGCCGUUCCCGGGUUGAGCCCGGGGCUUUCACAUCUGACUUACGUUGCCGCCUACGUGCGCUUUACGCCCAGUGAUUCCGAUUAACGCUUGCACCCUCCGUAUUACCGCGGCUGCUGGCACGGAGUUAGCCGGUGCUUCUUCUGUGGGUAANGNCANCCCCGAGGGG